Molecule: ribosomal RNA, 473 nt
Filed under: uncultured organism
Description: partial 16S ribosomal RNA
Rfam family: Bacterial small subunit ribosomal RNA
Source: RNAcentral
ACACUCCUGCGGGAGGCAGCAGUGGGGAAUUUUGGACAAUGGGCGAAAGCCUGAUCCAGCCAUGCCGCGUGCAGGAUGAAGGCCUUCGGGUUGUAAACUGCUUUUGUACGGAACGAAACGGCCUUUUCUAAUAAAGAGGGCUAAUGACGGUACCGUAAGAAUAAGCACCGGCUAACUACGUGCCAGCAGCCGCGGUAAUACGUAGGGUGCAAGCGUUAAUCGGAAUUACUGGGCGUAAAGCGUGCGCAGGCGGUUAUGUAAGACAGUUGUGAAAUCCCCGGGCUCAACCUGGGAACUGCAUCUGUGACUGCAUAGCUAGAGUACGGUAGAGGGGGAUGGAAUUCCGCGUGUAGCAGUGAAAUGCGUAGAUAUGCGGAGGAACACCGAUGGCGAAGGCAAUCCCCUGGACCUGUACUGACGCUCAUGCACGAAAGCGUGGGGAGCAAACAGGAUUAGAUACCCGAGUAGUCCCA